Molecule: ribosomal RNA, 497 nt
Filed under: uncultured bacterium
Lineage: Bacteria
Description: partial 16S ribosomal RNA
Rfam family: Bacterial small subunit ribosomal RNA
Source: RNAcentral
GAUGAACGCUGGCGGCGUGCCUAAUACAUGCAAGUCGAGCGAACGGACGAGAAGCUUGCUUCUCUGAUGUUAGCGGCGGACGGGUGAGUAACACGUGGAUAACCUACCUAUAAGACUGGGAUAACUUCGGGAAACCGGAGCUAAUACCGGAUAAUAUUUUGAACCGCAUGGUUCAAAAGUGAAAGACGGUCUUGCUGUCACUUAUAGGUGGAUCCGCGCUGCAUUAGCUAGUUGGUAAGGUAACGGCUUACCAAGGCAACGAUGCAUGGCCGACCUGAGAGGGUGAUCGGCCACACUGGAACUGAGACACGGUCCCGACUCCUACGGGAGGCAGCAGUAGGGAAUCUUACGCAAUGGGCGAAAGCCUGACGGAGCAACGCCGCGUGAGUGAUGAAGGUCUUCGGAUCGUAAAACUCUGUUAUUAGGGGAGAAGAUAUGUGUAAGUAACUGUGCACAUCUUGACGGUACCUAAUCAGAAAGCCACGGCUAACUACGUG